Molecule: long non-coding RNA, 2168 nt
Filed under: Mus musculus (house mouse)
Lineage: Eukaryota; Metazoa; Chordata; Mammalia; Rodentia; Muridae
Description: long non-coding RNA chr2:130664941-130667109
Source: RNAcentral
GUCAGGCACGCAGGUUAUACACAGAUAUGCAUACCUGCGAAACACUCAUACACGUCAAAUAAGUGUUUAAGAAAAAAAGAAAGAAAAAGGAAGAAAAUAGUGGGGCGAGUAAGUAGGGGACUAAGCUGGGGUUGUAGAUUAGUAGUAGAGCACUCAUGGCCAAGGCCCUUAGUUUAAUUUGGAGCACUGAAAAAUGCAACGUGUGUACGAAUAUCUUAUUAAUACUGCAAGUUAGGCAUCCAUUGUAUUACUUUCUGUAAAUGUGGAAUGUUUUGUAAUUUGUUUCUCAAUGUUGAUAAACCUAAGGCCUUCCAGGCGUCAGGCAAGCGCUGUUACGGUAAGCUUUAUCUCUAGCACCUACGUUCUUUCCGUAUAUUUGGAGAUUUAGAUCCAUGUUCGGCUGAAGGUUGAGGCUUUGCUGGAAUUUUAUCGCAGCUGCCCCCCACCUUUAGUUGUUUGGUUUUGUUCUGAGACAGGGUAUCUGGUAGCCUAGGCUGGCCUUGGACUUGGUGUAUAGUAGAUGGUGACUUUAAACUGAUCCUUUGCUUCUGCCUCAUAAGUGCCUGGAUUAUAUGGGAGUACAGGUGUGCACCCUGAUGUCCAGACGCUCCUCCAUCUUUUGAGGAUGGGUUGUUUUGUUUUAGUUCUUUGAGCUCUCAUUAUAUGGCCCUGCCUGGCCUAGAACUCAAUAUGUACACAAGGCUGGCCACAAACUUAGAGGGAUCUGCUUGCCUCUUCCUUGGUUAUAAUUAAAGGCAUGUGGCACCACAGACCUGCCUGGCUCCUGAAUUAUUAUUAUUUUUUUUCCGAGACAGGGUUUCUCUGUGUAGCCCUGGCUGUCCUGGAACUCACUCUGUAGACCAGGCUGACCUCGAACUCAGAAAUCCACCUGCCUCUGCCUCCCAAGUGCUGGGAUUAAAGGCGUGUGCCACCACACCUGGCUGGCUUCUUAACAAAUGUUAUUUUAUAUGUGAUAUAUAUAUAUAUAUAUAUAUGUAUAUUAAUUACCUGGCCUAUAUAUGUAAUAUAUAUGCUUAUAUGUGAUUAUAUAUAUAUAUAAAAUCUAGUACCUGUUCUCUCUCUCUCUCUCUCUCUCUAUAUAUAUAUAUAUACAUAUAUAUAUAUAUAUAUAUAUAUAUAUAUAUAUAUUUGUGUGUGUUUGUGACUUCUUGGAUGUUAAAUGCCUCAGCUUCUCUCUCUCUCUCUCUCUCUCUCUCUCUAACCUUUGCUUUAAAAACCUCUACUUCUCCACUUUUCUGAGGAUUCCCUUUAACUUCAUGAAAGAGAGAGACAAGUGACAUGCAGGAAGGGCCAUGUUACUCAGCCCAGCCUUUCCCAGCCAACUCUAAUGAACCACAGGUCCUCAAAAAAUAACACCAUCGAGGGGCAGUGAAGAGGACACUAUGAUCUGUCUCCAAAGACACUGUAUACAGCAAAGCUUCUGAAUUGUGUAACACGCAAUAUUAAGGUCACGAGCAAAGAUUUGAGGAGAACAUAGCUUUGGCUACUCUGUGAGGACAGCUCUAGAGUUUAAGAAAAACUCAUUAGUGGGCUGGGUAUGUGGCUCAGUGGUACAGUGCUUGCCUAAGUCCCAUAAGCCCCUUAAGUAAGUUGCAUCUAUAUAACAAUACCCAAGGCUGUACAAGGUUAAUAACAUUAAGCUAAACAGCCAGGCUUGAUUAGGAUUCUAUUGUUUGUGUGUGUGAUUCUGGGGGCCAAACCCAGGACCUUGGUCAUGCUAUGCAAAUGUUCUACCAUCAAGCUACAUCCCUGACACCAUAUAUAGCCCAGGCUAGCCUUUAAUUCAUGAUCUUCCUGCUUUAAUCUCAGUGCUGGGAUUAUAAAUGGCCACACUUCCAGCUAGCACCCUGUACUUUUGUUUUGUUUUUUGUUUUUCGAGACAGGGUUUCUCUGUAUAGCCCUGGCUGUCCUGGAACUCACUUUGUAGACCAGGCUGACCUCGAACUCAGAAAUCCACCUGCCUCUGCCUCCCGAGUGCUGGGAUUAAAGGCGUGCGCCACCAUGCUCGGCUUUUUUUUUUUUUUAAGAUGUUUUUUAUAUGUAUGAGUGUUUAGCUGCUCGUAUGUGCGCUGCAUUAUAUAUGCCUAGUGCCUUCAGAAACCAGAAGAGGGCAAUGCAUUCCCAGGAACUGGAGUUACAGACAACUG